RNAcentral lists this ribosomal RNA (425 nucleotides) under uncultured prokaryote. Its description in RNAcentral is "partial 16S ribosomal RNA". It matches the Rfam family "Bacterial small subunit ribosomal RNA", at positions 355 to 796 of the family's 1533-position model. The record is from RNAcentral.
UGGGGAAUUUUCCGCAAUGGGCGAAAGCCUGACGGAGCAACGCCGCGUGAGGGAGGAAGGCUUUUGGGUUGUAAACCUCUUUUCUCAAGGAAGAUUUCAGACGGUACUUGAGGAAUCAGCAUCGGCUAACUCCGUGUCAGCAGCCGCGGUAAUACGUAGGGGGCGAGCGUUGUCCGGAAUUAUUGGGCGUAAAGAGCGUGUAGGCGGCCCGGUAAGUCCGCCGUGAAAACCUGGGGCUCAACCCUGGGCGUGCGGUGGAUACUGCUGGGCUAGAGGAUGGUAGAGGCGAGUGGAAUUCCCGGUGUAGCGGUGAAAUGCGCAGAGAUCGGGAGGAACACCAGUAGCGAAGGCGGCUCGCUGGGCCAUUCCUGACGCUGAGACGCGAAAGCGUGGGGAGCGAACAGGAUUAGAUACCCCUGUAGUCC